This 445-nucleotide ribosomal RNA is filed under the name uncultured bacterium. RNAcentral's name for it is "partial 16S ribosomal RNA". It matches the Rfam family "Bacterial small subunit ribosomal RNA", at positions 29 to 523 of the family's 1533-position model. The record is from RNAcentral.
AGCGAACGCUGGCGGCAGGCUUAACACAUGCAAGUCGAGCGCCCCGCAAGGGGAGCGGCAGACGGGAGAGUAACACGUGGGAACAUACCUUUUGGUUCGGAACAACUGAGGGAAACUUCAGCUAAUACCGGAUAAGCCCUUACGGGGAAAGAUUUAUCGCCGAAAGAUUGGCCCGCGUCUGAUUAGCUAGUUGGUGAGGUAACGGCUCACCAAGGCGACGAUCAGUAGCUGGUCUGAGGAUGAUCAGCCUCACUGGGACUGAGACACGGCCCAGACUCCUACGGGAGGCAGCAGUGGGGAAUAUUGGACAAUGGGCGCAAGCCUGAUCCAGCCAUGCCGCGUGAGUGAUGAAGGCCUUAGGGUUGUAAAGCUCUUUUGCCCGGGAAGAUAAUGACGGUACCGGGAGAAUAAGCCCCGGCUAACUUCGUGCCAGCCGCCGCGGUAA